GGCAACGCUUUCACACUGCCAAUGAUUCAUCCAGGAGUAGGAAUGAGUCUUGAUCAAUGAGACAUAGGGGAAGUCUGAUGGGUCCCCCGGGAAAGAUUUUCCUUCUUGAAAGAGAAUGAGCCACACAAAGAGAAAGACUUAUUGUCUCCAUUACCCUUGUUUUAUGCUUGGGAUGCUCUCAGUUGCUUGAAGGGUCCAGCCUAUGACCCUGAGACGGACAUUUUGACAUAAUGAAGGUGGCAGAGCAGAAGGAUGGAAAGUGCUUGGGUCCUCCAUGACAUUUCUGGGUCACGAAACUCACCUGGGGACCACCUACCUUCUUGGGUCCAGUGGGGAGACUCCUUCCUGAUCCGGGUGAAUUAUACUUCAUGGACAGCAAUUAAUCCACAAUAACAUCCCUGUCUUGUCUCUUGGCUGUCAGGUCAGAGGUGAAAAAUGAAGUCAGUUCCUUGGAAAGAUGAAAUCACGUACAACAUGAAGAUUUGGGACACAGCGUAAAGGAAGAAUGAAGAGAAAACAAAGGAAG
This 526-nucleotide long non-coding RNA is filed under the name Equus caballus (horse). Its description in RNAcentral is "lncRNA (ENSECAG00000043990.1)". The record is from RNAcentral. Lineage: Eukaryota; Metazoa; Chordata; Mammalia; Perissodactyla; Equidae.